UACGGAGGAUGCAAGCGUUAUCCGGAAUGAUUGGGCGUAAAGCGUCCGCAGGUGGCUGUGUAAGUCUGCUGUUAAAGAGUCUAGCUCAACUAGAUAAGAGCAGUGGAAACUACACGGCUAGAGUACGUUCGGGGCAGAGGGAAUUCCUGGUGUAGCGGUGAAAUGCGUAGAGAUCAGGAAGAACACCGGUGGCGAAGGCGCUCUGCUAGGCCGUAACUGACACUGAGGAGCGAAAGCGUGGGGAGCGAACAGG
Molecule: ribosomal RNA, 253 nt
Filed under: uncultured bacterium
Lineage: Bacteria
Description: partial 16S ribosomal RNA
Rfam family: Bacterial small subunit ribosomal RNA
Source: RNAcentral